GCAGAAGUGAAAUAUCGCUUCUGUUUUUUUAUUACAUAUUUAUUGUUGAGGAAGGUUGUCCGAGCUGGCCGAAG
Molecule: transfer RNA, 74 nt
Filed under: Staphylococcus aureus
Lineage: Bacteria; Bacillati; Bacillota; Bacilli; Caryophanales; Staphylococcaceae
Description: tRNA-Met-CAT
Source: RNAcentral